AUGCAGUUUGUCAGAGAUGGAUCUUACAACAUAUAUUUAUUAUUUUAUUUUUCAAGAAAUCGUAGUAGUUUACGACGUAUAAUCAAUGACGAAGGGGACCUCGUCCUUCGGAAAGCGGCGUAAUAAGACUCAUGCUCUAUGCCGUCGCUGCGGUUCCAAGGCUUACCUCAUCUGCAGAAGUCGUCCUGCGGGAAGUGUGGCUACCCCGAGAAGCGCAAGAGAAGUUGAAUGGGUUCCGGGAAGGGACCAAGCCCAAGCCCAGGCGUGUUGCAGUGGCUGCCUCCAAACCUGUCCUAGACACACUUUGGGUUCACUUUAAUAAAUGUGCUUGUUGGUUAAAGUUUUCUUA
Long non-coding RNA from Oncorhynchus nerka (sockeye salmon), 349 nucleotides. RefSeq lists it as uncharacterized. The transcript has 3 exons. NCBI's taxonomy places the organism in Eukaryota, Metazoa, Chordata, Actinopteri, Salmoniformes, Salmonidae. The record is from RefSeq and is a predicted model, not a curated record.